RNAcentral lists this ribosomal RNA (253 nucleotides) under uncultured prokaryote. RNAcentral's name for it is "partial 16S ribosomal RNA". It matches the Rfam family "Bacterial small subunit ribosomal RNA", at positions 525 to 777 of the family's 1533-position model. The record is from RNAcentral.
ACGUAGGGUGCAAGCGUUGUUCGGAAUCACUGGGCAUAAAGCGCAUGUAGGCGGCGCGAUCAGUCGGGUGUGAAAUCCCCUGGCUCAACCAGGGAACUGCAUUCGAUACUGUCGUGCUCGAGGGUGGCAGAGGAGAGUGGAACUCGUAGUGGAGCGGUGAAAUGCGUAGAUAUUACGAGGAACACCGGUGGCGAAAGCGACUCUCUGGGCCAUUCCUGACGCUGAGAUGCGAAAGCCAGGGGAGCAAACGGGA